GACGAACGCUGGCGGCGUGCCUAAUACAUGCAAGUAGAACGCACAGUUUAUACCGUAGCUUGCUACACCAUAGACUGUGAGUUGCGAACGGGUGAGUAACGCGUAGGUAACCUGCCUGGUAGCGGGGGAUAACUAUUGGAAACGAUAGCUAAUACCGCAUAAUAUUAAUUAUUGCAUGAUAAUUAAUUGAAAGGUGCAAUUGCACCACUACCAGAUGGACCUGCGUUGUAUUAGCUAGUAGGUGAGGUAACGGCUAACCUAGGCGACGAUACAUAGCCGACCUGAGAGGGUGAUCGGCCACACUGGGACUGAGACACGGCCCAGACUCCUACGGGAGGCAGCAGUAGGGAAUCUUCGGCAAUGGACGAAAGUCUGACCGAGCAACGCCGCGUGAGUGAAGAAGGGUUUCGGAUCGUAAAGCUCUGUUGUAAGAGAAGAACGGGUGUGAGAGUGGAAAGUUCACACUGUGACGGUAUCUUGCCAGAAAGGGACGGCUAACUACGUG
Molecule: ribosomal RNA, 505 nt
Filed under: uncultured bacterium
Lineage: Bacteria
Description: partial 16S ribosomal RNA
Rfam family: Bacterial small subunit ribosomal RNA
Source: RNAcentral